RNAcentral lists this ribosomal RNA (493 nucleotides) under uncultured bacterium. RNAcentral describes it as "partial 16S ribosomal RNA". It matches the Rfam family "Bacterial small subunit ribosomal RNA", at positions 29 to 507 of the family's 1533-position model. The record is from RNAcentral.
ACGAACGCUGGCGGCGUGCUUAACCCAUGCAAGUCGAACGGAAAGGCCUGCUUUCCCUUGUGGAUUGCGGGUACUCGAGUGGCGAACGGGUGAGUAACACGUGAGUGAUCUGCCCCCAACUUGGGUAUAAGCCUGGGAAACUGGGUCUAAUUCCCGAUAGGACUGCAGGGUGGUGCCUGUGGUGGAAAACGAUUUUCUAGUGGUUGGGGAUGAGCUCGCGGCCUAUCAGCUUGUUGGUGGGGUAAUGGCCUACCAAGGCGGCGACGGGUAGCCGGCCUGAGAGGGUGGACGGCCACAUUGGGACUGAGAUACGGCCCAGACUCCUACGGGAGGUAGCAGUGGGGAAUAUUGCACAAUGGGCGGAAGCCUGAUGCAGCGACGCCGCGUGGGGGAUGACGGCCUUCGGGUUGUAAACUCCUUUCGACCGCGAGGAAGCCACCUGGUUGGAAGGGUGGUGACGGUAGUGGUAGAAGAAGCACCGGCUAACUACGUG